GCUGGCGGCGUGCCUAACACAUGCAAGUCGAACGGGAACUUCUGGAUUCGUCUAGAGGGGAGAGUGGCGAACGGGUGAGUAACACGUAGGUGACCUGCCUUGAAGACGGGGAUAACCACUGGAAACGGUGGCUAAUACCCGAUAGUCUUGACGAUUCGGUUCGUUGAGUAAAGCUCCGGCGCUUCAAGAGGGACCUGCGGCCCAUCAGCUAGUUGGUAGGGUAAUGGCCUACCAAGGCGAAGACGGGUAGGGGGCGUGAGAGCGUGGCCCCCCACACUGGCACUGAGACACGGGCCAGACUCCUACGGGAGGCAGCAGUGAGGAAUAUUGCCCAAUGGGCGAAAGCCUGAGGCAGCAACGCCGCGUGGGUGAUGAAGGCUCUC
This 383-nucleotide ribosomal RNA is filed under the name uncultured bacterium. Its description in RNAcentral is "bacterial SSU rRNA". It matches the Rfam family "Bacterial small subunit ribosomal RNA", at positions 35 to 419 of the family's 1533-position model. The record is from RNAcentral.